Drosophila santomea is the source of this 1803-nucleotide long non-coding RNA. RefSeq lists it as uncharacterized. The transcript is spliced from 2 exons. NCBI's taxonomy places the organism in Eukaryota, Metazoa, Arthropoda, Insecta, Diptera, Drosophilidae. The record is from RefSeq and is a predicted model, not a curated record.
ACGUGGACGGGUUGUAAAAAGCCCACGGAGUCUUUAGUGAACGCCAGGAUCUAAUGCAGUUUACUUAUAAUUAUUUUGAAACCGCCAAGCUGAUUGAUACAGUGUCAUAUAGGCAUACAUAUAAUUCGAAUCCCCAACUAAGCAUGACACUGCGCAUUUUGUGACGUCAAGACAAUUCAAAAUACAUAUAUUAUUUAGAGUAAACAAAUAAGUGGCAUCGCGUCUAGCUCCCUCGCUAUAGAAUCUUCCCAGACGCGCGACAACAGGUGUAAAGAUACAGAUACAUCGGUUAUCUUUGGAGGCAAAUGGAUCUGGGAAUGUAAUUUAAAAAUAAGAUUUAUUGGAUGGUUAAAGAGAGUAAUGCCCGCCCUUUAAUAAAACUAUGGGGGUUUGUUUUUUUAAAUUAUUUAAACCUAUUUAUUCGAGAAUACUUCGAAUACGCGUGUGUAUAUAUUGUAUGGUACUAAAAUCUCAUUUGAUAUUACUAGGAUAAAUAAAAUUGUGAUUUGCUUCUGUUGUCUCUUAGUUAAUUUACACAGUUUAGAAGACGCUUCUUACGUUUUAAAAUAUUCAUUACGAUACUACUUUGUUUAAAUAUUUCGUUCUUUUUCGGAUGAGUUUCUUUUUGCUUGUUUUGUAGGUUGCGUCGUGUGUUUUUGUUUUCCGUCUGAUUCUCCUGGAAGCGCACUUUUGUUACGAUUCUUGUGAUUAUUAAUCUCGCUCUGGCUCUAAAUUGUUUUGUAUUUUCGUCUCACUUUUGUUAACUAUUUCACAAUUUGUUUGAAUGCUCGCCCAAAUCCAAAGGAAGCCGACGGACCUUGAUAAGCGGUCUUGGAUUUUGCUUAAGUUUAAUUUCGCAUUAAUGAGUUAGCUGCCGAGCCGGAUGCUCUGCGAAAUUGUGCUAAAUGAACUUAGGCUUAAAUGAAGCUUUCCCCAACUGGGCCCUGGGUUCUUGUUUCCGUAUGCUAUAUUGCCAUGGCUAUAGCUACGUGUCGUAUGCUGUUAUAGUUAAUCGGCCUGCUCGAGUUAUAUAUUUACAGAUAGGAUUACAUGGAUGUACGAUAGGUUAAAGUUACGAUUACAGGACGAAGUCGCGCGAUAUUUUCGAGAACCUAACUCGCCUCGAAGUGUAUUACAGAUUCAGUCGUUCGCGAACAGUGCGUUUCGUGGCCAUUAGGCAAUUACAAUGUCAAUGGCCACGCACCGUGCAGUUAUUAUGUUUGUGGGUGUAUUUCGCAUUGAGUGGCUUAAACAUAGGUGCUUGUUAGAUGCUUAGUAACUUAGUUAAUUGCUGUUAAUUAUCGGCUUAAGUUGCUGGGCUUUCCGGUUCGGUCUAUCAGUUUGAUGGCAAUUGGCUGCUGCAGUUGUAGUUCUUGCGUAUAAAUAUAUAAUUAGUACAUAGAAUACUUUAUGAAAUACUUAGUUCUGGAAUGCUUCUACUCGCUCACAUCGAUUUUCGUGGGACGGGGAGGAAUGUAUACAAUUCUUACAUGAAUAAUCAGAUUGUAAUGCUGUCUGUGUCUGGGGAGAAGAACUCGAAAUUGGCACUGAAAUGUUAAGCAUUUGUUAUUAAUUAUAAGUACCUCUCUACCCCUCUCUUUCUGGCCCUUCCUAUCUCUUUCUCUGUCUAUUUAAACUUACUCACAAAUCAUUGGGAAGUCGAAGGAAGUGUUUGACAAUUUGCUUAGAACUAAUGUUGCAUUCAUGGGCGUUGUUAAAUACUUUUUGCGUUUAAGUACGACUACAGGUAAGUGGAUUCGAAUAGAAUUCAAUUAAAUUAAGGUUAGCGUCGUUAAUUAAUAU